Molecule: ribosomal RNA, 426 nt
Filed under: uncultured bacterium
Lineage: Bacteria
Description: bacterial SSU rRNA
Rfam family: Bacterial small subunit ribosomal RNA
Source: RNAcentral
GUGGGGAAUCUUGCACAAUGGAGGCAACUCUGAUGCAGCGACGCCGCGUGAGCGAUGAAGCCCUUCGGGGUGUAAAGCUCUUUCGGCAGGGACGAUAAUGACGGUACCUGAAGAAGAAGCUGCGGCUAACUACGUGCCAGCAGCCGCGGUAAUACGUAGGCAGCGAGCGUUGUUCGGAAUUACUGGGCGUAAAGAGUGUGUAGGCGGUGCUCUAAGUUCGGUGUGAAAUCUCCCGGCUCAACUGGGAGGGUGCGCCGGAAACUGGAGUGCUUGAGCGUGGGAGAGGAAAGCGGAAUUCCUGGUGUAGCGGUGAAAUGCGUAGAUAUCAGGAGGAACACCUGCGGUGUAGACGGCUUUCUGGACCACAAGCUGACGCUGAGACACGAAAGCGUGGGUAGCAAACAGGAUUAGAUACCCCUGUAGUCC